This is a long non-coding RNA of Camelus dromedarius (Arabian camel), 5115 nucleotides long. RefSeq lists it as uncharacterized. The transcript has 3 exons. Lineage: Eukaryota; Metazoa; Chordata; Mammalia; Artiodactyla; Camelidae. The record is from RefSeq and is a predicted model, not a curated record.
GACAAAAAGAGCGAUCAAUCCCUCAGCAGCUCCUUAAGAAUCAAAAAGACAGGCCUCCCCUUACACCGAGUGCAAGCAAAUGUGUCCUCUUCCACGGAUGUGCUGCACAGCGUUAGAGAAACUCGUGUUAGAACCCAGGCUGUGUCAUAGAAGAAAACUUUUGUAACAUCGCACAAAACUCAGAGGAACCCUGCCCAGAUGACAAAGGAACAGAAGUGUCAGAAAGCUGCGAGAGACAGGCUGAGAGGCCAUCGCCCCCUACGAGACCCACGAAGCCCCGCCUUAUGGAGAAGCCCCGCAUGGAACUGCCGUCUCCGCUCAGGACCUGGAGGCGAGCUCGUCCCGCAGCGCCGACGGGAGACCUCAGGCCGCUCCGCCGCGCUCCUGCCCCGGCCGGUGGACCCCUGCAGACGUCCUCCCUUCACGCAGGCUCCUCCCGCGAUCAACACGGCAGGCGUUUGGCGUUUGAAGUUCUUUCCGUCUCUUCUUUGAGCCCAAAACAAGCUGACGAUGUAGGUGCUCCCUCGCCCCCGUGCGGCAGAGAAGCACGUCAGUUUGGCAAAGUUGGGUAACUUGGCUCAAACCACGCAGGUGGCAGAUAGUUCACUGGCCUUAAAUAUCCUGUCAGUGGAACAUUCCUGACCUCAGAGGACAGUCCUACAGUUGUCUGGAUUCCUCAAAUGGGACAAGUUGGUCAUAAAUUGGGAUGUCUGUGACACAGGCCAAAUUAUGGAAAGCAAAGUAAAAGCCUGUGUUGACAACAGGGGCCGCGGAGCAAGGUGCUAAGCGAGGCGCGGCAGCGCUGAGCUCCCGGGCCCUGACGUUACCGGAGCUGAGCUACGUGCUCCCCCGGGGUCACCGUCCGCCCGCGAGCGUGGCUCUGGUCAGACGCGCACGGCAGCUGGGCAGGCGCCACGCGCCCUCCGCGGCCGCCCCUGCGCCGCAGAAGCAAACCCGGAUCACCGUUCCGAUCUGCAGCCCCGAGCCGGCACGGCCGCGGCACAGAGCCGAAGGGCACGGCUCCCGGGCCGCUCUGCCACCGGAGGGCUUUCGGCCACCAGCGAACGCCUCCUGGUCGGCGAAAUGGCCAGGUCGUGGUAGCCUCGUCCCAGGCGUGGCGGGGAAACGAAGUGAGUGCGCAGGUGCGAAGUGCUUGUCGCGGCGUGCGGCCUGUGGCGAAGGCUCUUCGAGUGUUACUGAGUUUGAUUUAUGGAGAAGACCACGCCUCACACGGCGCACUGAGAGCGGGGAGCGAGAGCGAGGCUCAGCCCACACCUGCGUUUUACUCAUACGCCUUUGGAACCCCCGGAGUCACGUGCUAAACCCGCAGAUUCUUGCUAGUCAAUUUCCAUUUGCUCUCGGCAAGAUACUCAUUUCCCCAUGUGAAGGAAAAGGUCCAGAAUAGCUAACCGGCUAUGAGCUAUCUAACUCUUGCAAAACAGCAUUCUGAUGAAAGGAAGGUCGAUUAAUCAGGCUCACGGCGACUAAAUCUCUUGAAAAGGAAGGAAGGAAGGAAGGAAGGAAGGAAGGAAGGAAGGAAGGAAGGAAGGAAGGAAGAAGAAGGAAGGAAAAAGAGAAGGAAGGAAAGAGAAAAAGAAAGAAAGAGGAAGGAAGGAAGAAAGGAAAAGAAAGAAAGAAAGGAAAGAAGGAAGGAAGAAAGGAGAAAGAAAGAAAGGGAGAAAGAGAGAAAAGAAAAAGAAAGAUUGGUUGAAAAAACUGGGCAAAGAAUACAAGAGCUUUGUAGAAAUCCAUUUUUAGCCAAACCCUAAACAUCCCUCCACAGGCUUCUCAAACGCCUUGGACCUGUUUGCGUGCACGCUUUGUUGAGCUACGUGAUUCAUGAUCACUUUGGAGACACUCAGAUACACUUAUAUGUAAUUUGCUUUUGCAUGAUUUUAUUAGAAAGAAGAAAUCCUGGCUGAAUUUCUUUUACUAUUUGCAUAAUAAAAAUAUUAAUAUCCAUUGAAAGGUCAAUUCAGGUGUGCACUUGCCUGUGCUAAACGACAGUUUUGUGCCAAGAGCCCUAACAGUUUUCCUCACAGAAGAAUGGAAGAAGUGUUUCUUCUAAGUGAUUCUGAACGUGGCCUGUGUUGGGAAGUAACCUGGAGUUGCAUUGUUGAGAUUCUAGGAUGUUGCUAUUUUAGGAAAUAAAUGAAUUCAUUGGCCUAUAGCCCACAUUCCAUUUUAUCUGGAAAAUUAUAUGCCACAGGCCAGGAGGCAUAUUUUUUUCUUAAUAAAUAGAUAAACUGUGUCAUGAUGUUAACUGCAUGGUAAGAGAGACAAGGGAUUGUCUUCCUUCCAGGAGAAGUGAAGGUUCUGGAAUGGUAUUUAAUAGUCUUUUCCAUUUUUUCCUUCUUUAAUUUUUUUCUACAGCGAUCCAUUUAAACUGAAAUUGUUCAGAUUAAAUCAGGUCUGCUUCCCUGCAGGUCUGAUAACUCCUUCUCAGACACCCGAAGAUUUUAACUAAAGUUCGAGUCCUAGCUUACACUGCAUACUUCUGGUUUUCCCACAUUUUGUUUCAGAUGUUGAGCCAAGAUCAAAUUAGAUUCAUAUUUUCUUAUUAAAAAAAACCCCACAAACUCUAUAUGGUGAUAGAUUAUGUCCGUUUAGAAAAAUUGGGGGAGACUAGAAAGAUAAGGCUUUUUACAAUUCGAACCUCAUAAUUCUCUUGUCGCCAUUUAAGAAAGUAAGGUAAAAAUAAAAUGGAUCAUGGCCAGCAUGCAGAUAAGUGAAUUUAUUUAAAGAAGGAAGAACUCUAAAGAAAACACGGCUUCAAGCAAAAUCACCACUUUGCAUCAUAGGCCCAUUAGUGCUGAAAAUUCAACGUGUCCCACCCGCCUUCCGUGGCACAUAAUGCGGAGAAAGGCUUGUGCGGUCAUUGUAUGAGAUGUUUAUUCAGGACAUGAAAGCACAGGUCCAUGUAAUAAUGAUAUUCUUCAAGAAAAUAGUUUAGAAGUAUUCAAAUUUUAUUAUAUUAUCCAACAAGUAGUGCUGUUCUUGGAUCUCACCUCCUGAGCAGCUCAUGUGAAUCACACAAGGCCUUUCACACAACCGGCUCGCAGGGGCUUAGUCCCUGAGGGCGAUGUACACGGACCUGGGUCCUCCCCAUCCCCGCCUUGAACCUGGGGGCUGCCAGGCACCCAGAGAGUCAGCUUGCACACUACCCCUCAGGAGCUCGUUUCCAACAUCACAGACAGUUGUCAACAGAUCAAAUGUUCGAAAGAACGACCAGUAGAAAUAAGUGUGACGUCUGAGAGGCAUGACCUGGGUUCAGAUCCCGCCUCUGCCACUUACUGCCUUUACGCAUGUCAUGGAAUCUUAGGAGUUACUGUCAUCAGGGACGUUUGAUAAAGGAGACGCCACCCCAGAGCAGACGUGUAGGUACCUGCAGGGGAGGCCGGCUGGGUCACCCGAUGCCUCUCGGGGGCCCUCCGCUCCAGCUGCCACGCAGGCGAUGAGAGUGAACGCAGGGAUGCUGGCCAAACGGCAUCCUUGAGACAACGGGGCCGACAGCAGGUCGGAGAAACCCGCAAGAUUGUCCAGAAGUAGAACCCGUCAAGGUUCCACGAGGCCUAGAGAGAAGACAGUUGGAUAGAAACGCUGUGAAGAGAGCAAUAACCAGUUACAGCUUCUAAAACAAUGUGAGAAUUCUCACCUAAUUACAGUGUUGGCAGGGACACGUUUUAGGAGCUAUCAUCAAUGCAUAAAUGAAAAAGCAGUACAUUUUAUCAUAGCACAGAUGUGUUCCCUGUGUCCAAGGGCAGAGUGUCAGAAUUUGAAAAAAAAAAUGUAUAAUGCGUGUCAUGUGUUUUUCUUUUAUUUUUCUAAAGUUAUUUACUUUUGUUUUCAUGUCUCACCCACUUGUGCUCACCUACACUUACUGUAGUAAGUAUCUGUCUGGUACACAGUACACACCAAGCACCGUAUUAAACAUGGGAUGAAAAAGCAUCAGCGUCUAUUCUUGAAGAGCUCAUGGUAAAUUCAGCAGGGACGGAUCCGAACGCACAUGAGUUCACACCAGGAAGUACUGGGUUCUCUAACAGACGUACAAAGUGCUCUGGGAACCCCAGUGAGGAAAUAAUCCGGAUUGAGCCAGAGGAGAAGGGGUUUCCAUACAGACGCGGAGAGGGUCUUUGAUGUGGGCACUGAGAAGGGGGAGAGCGCUCUCUGCGUCCUAGAAUCAUAAACUAUUACUGCUAAAAAGAUGUUUCUGACGGUUAAGUUUAACUGCCUCAUUUUAAAGCUAAAGGAAACAAGACUUGGAGGGCGGGGUUAGGGGAUGUGCUGAAAGCACCCCAUAUGAAGGCAGAGAGGAGUCAGGGUCCGGGGGCUGGGUUUCCAGGUCACUGGACCUUCUCUUGCAGACUCUGGCCGCAAGUCAGUGUCCCCCUGUGCAAAUCCCACCCCCAAGUCCAGUUCAGGCCAGCUAACGGAGGUUCCCCGCGGGACAGGGAAAUACUUACCUAUCUAAAGGAGUCAACGACUAAACAAAACCUCAGAAGUGGUGCUUUCAGCCAUUGUUUCCACAUAUUUCCAUUUAUUUACCCCGUUGCUGAGGAAGGUGGUAUUAUCUAGACAUUGCUCAGUUUGCCAGAAGUGUAAUACUAUUUACCUUUUUAUUGAAUGCCAGGAAUCCUUAAAUGACAAGCGCUAUUUAUUAUGUAAAACAUCCCUUAAAACCCAUCACCAUCUGACUCGUACUUGCUAGGGUCUGGCAACUUUGAAUUGGGCCUUUUGCCAUGUCUGACAGAUGGUCAGAAAUAUAUGUAGCCAAAAUACCAUAUAUGUGCACUGAUUGUGAAAAUCUGGGGUCUGCAUCUCAGCUGAAUCGCCCACAUGGUUUCCAGGCUGAUGGACACAGGCGAGAUUAAAGAGACGUGCGGGGUGAGAAUGGUGCCUAGAGAGAGGUGCUCCGAAUCUCCCGCUGCCCGUGGUUCUCGCUACAGAGAGUCCUGGUCGUUUUUUGGUUUUUGUUUUAGAAUUUUUAGAAUUUUUUUUUUUUACUAAGGUAUAGUGAGUUCCAAUGUGUCAGUUUCUGGUGUACAGCAUCGUGUCUCAGUCAUGCAUGUACAUACAUGUAUUUGUUUUCAUGUUCUUUUUCAUUAAAGUUUAUUA